Molecule: ribosomal RNA, 428 nt
Filed under: uncultured bacterium
Lineage: Bacteria
Description: bacterial SSU rRNA
Rfam family: Bacterial small subunit ribosomal RNA
Source: RNAcentral
GGACCCGCACAAGUAGUGGAGCAUGUGGUUUAAUUCGAAGAUACGCGCAGAACCUUACCAACACUUGACAUGUUCGUCGCGACUUUAAGAGAUUGAAGUUUUCGGUUCGGCCGGACGAAACACAGGUGCUGCAUGGCUGUCGUCAGCUCGUGUCGUGAGAUGUUGGGUUAAGUCCCGCAACGAGCGCAACCCUCACUUUUAGUUGCCAUCAUUUAGUUGGGCACUCUGAAAGAACUGCCAGUGAUAAGCUGGAGGAAGGUGGGGAUGACGUCAAGUCCUCAUGGCCCUUACGUGUUGGGCUACACACGUGCUACAAUGAUAUUUACAACAGGAAGCAAAACGGCGACGUUAAGCAAAUCCUUAAAAAUAUCUCAGUUCGGAUUGCACUCUGCAACUCGAGUGCAUGAAGCUGGAAUUACUAGUAAUCG